CUUAUAUUCUGUAGCAAGGUUAACCGUAUAGGGGAGCCGAAGGGAAACCGAGUCUUAACCGGGCGUUAAGUUGCAGGGUAUAGACCCGAAACCCGGUGAUCUAGCCAUGGGCAGGUUGAAGGUUGGGUAACACUAACUGGAGGACCGAACCGACUAAUGUUGAAAAAUUAGCGGAUGACCUGUGGCUGGGGGUGAAAGGCCAAUCAAACCGGGAGAUAGCUGGUUCUCCCCGAAAGCUAUUUAGGUAGCGCCUCGUGAAUUCAUCUCCGGGGGUAGAGCACUGUUUCGGCUAGGGGGCCAUCCCGGCUUACCAACCCGAUGCAAACUGCGAAUACCGGAGAAUGUUAUCACGGGAGACACACGGCGGGUGCUAACGUCCGUCGUGAAGAGGGAAACAACCCAGACCGCCAGCUAAGGUCCCAAAGUCAUGGUUAAGUGGGAAACGAUGUGGGAAGGCCCAGACAGCCAGGAUGUUGGCUUAGAAGCAGCCAUCAUUUAAAGAAAGCGUAAUAGCUCACUGGUCGAGUCGGCCUGCGCGGAAGAUGUAACGGGGCUAAACCAUGCACCGAAGCUGCGGCAGCGACACUGUGUGUUGUUGGGUAGGGGAGCGUUCUGUAAGCCUGUGAAGGUGUGUCGUGAGGCAUGCUGGAGGUAUCAGAAGUGCGAAUGCUGACAUAAGUAACGAUAAAGCGGGUGAAAAGCCCGCUCGCCGGAAGACCAAGGGUUCCUGUCCAACGUUAAUCGGGGCAGGGUGAGUCGACCCCUAAGGCGAGGCCGAAAGGCGUAGUCGAUGGGAAACGGGUUAAUAUUCCCGUACUUGGUGUUACUGCGAAGGGGGGACGGAGAAGGCUAUGUUGGCCGGGCGACGGUUGUCCCGGUUUAAGCGUGUAGGUGUGUGUUCCAGGUAAAUCCGGUUCACUUUAACACUGAGGCGUGAUGACGAGGCACUACGGUGCUGAAGCAACAAAUGCCCUGCUUCCAGGAAAAGCCUCUAAGCAUCAGGUAACAUCAAAUCGUACCCCAAACCGACACAGGUGGUCAGGUAGAGAAUACCAAGGCGCUUGAGAGAACUCGGGUGAAGGAACUAGGCAAAAUGGUGCCGUAACUUCGGGAGAAGGCACGCUGACACGUAGGUGAAGUGAUUUACUCAUGGAGCUGAAGUCAGUCGAAGAUACCAGCUGGCUGCAACUGUUUAUUAAAAACACAGCACUGUGCAAACACGAAAGUGGACGUAUACGGUGUGACGCCUGCCCGGUGCCGGAAGGUUAAUUGAUGGGGUCAGCGCAAGCGAAGCUCCUGAUCGAAGCCCCGGUAAACGGCGGCCGUAACUAUAACGGUCCUAAGGUAGCGAAAUUCCUUGUCGGGUAAGUUCCGACCUGCACGAAUGGCGUAAUGAUGGCCAGGCUGUCUCCACCCGAGACUCAGUGAAAUUGAACUCGCUGUGAAGAUGCAGUGUACCCGCGGCAAGACGGAAAGACCCCGUGAACCUUUACUAUAGCUUGACACUGAACAUUGAGCCUUGAUGUGUAGGAUAGGUGGGAGGCUUUGAAGUGUGGACGCCAGUCUGCAUGGAGCCGACCUUGAAAUACCACCCUUUAAUGUUUGAUGUUCUAACGUGGACCCGUGAUCCGGGUUGCGGACAGUGUCUGGUGGGUAGUUUGACUGGGGCGGUCUCCUCCUAAAGAGUAACGGAGGAGCACGAAGGUUGGCUAAUCCUGGUCGGACAUCAGGAGGUUAGUGCAAUGGCAUAAGCCAGCUUGACUGCGAGCGUGACGGCGCGAGCAGGUGCGAAAGCAGGUCAUAGUGAUCCGGUGGUUCUGAAUGGAAGGGCCAUCGCUCAACGGAUAAAAGGUACUCCGGGGAUAACAGGCUGAUACCGCCCAAGAGUUCAUAUCGACGGCGGUGUUUGGCACCUCGAUGUCGGCUCAUCACAUCCUGGGGCUGAAGUAGGUCCCAAGGGUAUGGCUGUUCGCCAUUUAAAGUGGUACGCGAGCUGGGUUUAGAACGUCGUGAGACAGUUCGGUCCCUAUCUGCCGUGGGCGCUGGAGAACUGAGGGGGGCUGCUCCUAGUACGAGAGGACCGGAGUGGACGCAUCACUGGUGUUCGGGUUGUCAUGCCAAUGGCACUGCCCGGUAGCUAAAUGCGGAAGAGAUAAGUGCUGAAAGCAUCUAAGCACGAAACUUGCCCCGAGAUGAGUUCUCCCUGAGACUUAAAGUCUCCUGAAGGAACGUUGAAGACGACGACGUUGAUAGGCCGGGUGUGUAAGCGCAGCGAUGCGUUGAGCUAACCGGUACUAAUGAACCGUGAGGCUUAACCUUACA
This 2322-nucleotide ribosomal RNA is filed under the name Salmonella enterica subsp. enterica serovar Newport. Its description in RNAcentral is "partial 23S ribosomal RNA". It matches the Rfam family "Bacterial large subunit ribosomal RNA", at positions 627 to 2925 of the family's 2925-position model. Lineage: Bacteria; Pseudomonadati; Pseudomonadota; Gammaproteobacteria; Enterobacterales; Enterobacteriaceae. The record is from RNAcentral.